GCUGUGAUGCCCUUAGAUGCUCUGGGCCGCACGCGCGCUACACUGACAGAGCCAACGAGUACAUCACCUUGGCCGGAAGGUC
This 82-nucleotide ribosomal RNA is filed under the name Lobothallia radiosa. RNAcentral's name for it is "partial small subunit ribosomal RNA". It matches the Rfam family "Eukaryotic small subunit ribosomal RNA", at positions 1461 to 1542 of the family's 1831-position model. Lineage: Eukaryota; Fungi; Ascomycota; Lecanoromycetes; Pertusariales; Megasporaceae. The record is from RNAcentral.